RNAcentral lists this ribosomal RNA (253 nucleotides) under uncultured bacterium. RNAcentral describes it as "partial 16S ribosomal RNA". It matches the Rfam family "Bacterial small subunit ribosomal RNA", at positions 524 to 776 of the family's 1533-position model. The record is from RNAcentral.
UACGUAGGUGGCAAGCGUUGUCCGGAGUUACUGGGCGUAAAGAGUGCGUAGGCGGUUUUCUAAGUUUGGUGUGAAAUCUCCCGGCUUAACUGGGAGGGUGCGCCGAAGACUGGAAGGCUUGAGUAUGGGAGAGGUAAGCGGAAUUCCUGGUGUAGCGGUGAAAUGCGUAGAUAUCAGGAGGAACACCUGCGGUGUAGACGGCUUACUGGACCAUCACUGACGCUGAGGCACGAAAGCGUGGGUAGCAAACAGG